RNAcentral lists this ribosomal RNA (423 nucleotides) under uncultured bacterium. Its description in RNAcentral is "bacterial SSU rRNA". It matches the Rfam family "Bacterial small subunit ribosomal RNA", at positions 207 to 622 of the family's 1533-position model. The record is from RNAcentral.
AAGACCUUAUGCUUUUGGAGCGGCCGAUGUCUGAUUAGCUAGUUGGUAAGGUAAUGGCUUACCAAGGCGACGAUCAGUAGUUGGUCUGAGAGGACGACCAGCCACACUGGGACUGAGACACGGCCCAGACUCCUACGGGAGGCAGCAGUGGGGAAUUUUGGACAAUGGGCGCAGGCCUGAUCCAGCAAUGCCGCGUGAGUGAAGAAGGCCUUCGGGUUGUAAAGCUCUUUCAGUCGAGAAGAAAAGAUUACUGAUAAUACCAGUAAUCCAUGACGGUAUCGACAGAAGAAGCACCGGCUAACUACGUGCCAGCAGCCGCGGUAAUACGUAGGGUGCGAGCGUUAAUCGGAAUUACUGGGCGUAAAGGGUGCGCAGGCGGCUUUGUAAGUCAGAUGUGAAAUCCCCGGGCUUAACCUGGGAAUU